Corvus moneduloides (New Caledonian crow) is the source of this 2265-nucleotide long non-coding RNA. The record is from Ensembl. Lineage: Eukaryota; Metazoa; Chordata; Aves; Passeriformes; Corvidae.
GUCGGGAGGGUCCAGGAGUGAAAUUUGGGGGGGUUGGGAGUGAAGUUUUUGGGGGAUUUGGGGGGUCCAGCAGGGAAAUUUUGGUGAUUUUUGGGGCUCCAGGAGCGAAAUUUGGGGGGUCAGGAACAAAAUUCGGGGGAUUUGGGGGUUCAGGAGCGAAAUUUGGGGGUUCGGGAGCGAAAUUCGAGGAAUUUUGGGGGUCCAGGAGCGAAAUUCGGGGAGUCAGGAGUGAAAAUUGGGGAAUUUGGGUUUUCAGGAGUGAAAUUUGGGUGAUUUGGGGGUCCAGGAGCGAAAUUCGGGGAGUCAGGAGCGAAAAUUGGGGAAUUUGGGGUUUCAGGAGUGAAAUUUGGGGGUCCAGGAGCAAAAUUUGGGGGAUUUUGGAGGUCGAGGAGCGAAAUUUGGGGGAUUUGGGGAGUUCAGGAGCGAAAUUCGGGGGAUUUUGGGGGUUCAGGAAAUUCGGGGGGCUCAGUCCCAAAUCUGGGGAGGGGUCGGGAGCAGAUUUGGGGCUCCGGGUGCCGAAUUUAGGAACUUUCAGGGCCUUGGAACCAAAAUUUGGGGGCUUCAGAGGGUCCAGGAGCGAAAUUUGGGGGGAAUUUUGGGGUCUCAGGGGGUUUUUAACCCAAUCCGGGGGGGCUCAGGACCCAAAUUUGGGCUCUAAAAGCCCCAAAUUCGCAGGAAAUGGCCCCAAAAUUCCCCCCUUUCCCCAGUUCCGAAUAAAUUCCGUGGAAUUUGUCCCAAAAUCGCUUUUAUUCCAAUAAAUAAACGUUACAAAAGGGGGGCGGGGGAGGGGGGGGAGGGGCGGGUGUGAGACCCCCAAAAAGCGACGUUUAUCCAAAAAAAAAAUUCCCGAGAAGAAUUCCCGAAAAAAUGACCUAAAAAAAAGCGAAUAAAGGGAAAAAAAGGGGGUGGGGGAGGGGCUUUUCCCCGUCCCCAAAAAGUGACUUUUACCCUAAAAAAGGGGAAUGAAACGGAGGAAAAGGGGGUGGGGGAGGGGCGGGGUUGAACCCCCUCCCCCCCAAAAUGUCCCAAAAUUCAUAAAAAUUCCAUCAAAAAUGGGGGUGGGGGAGGGGCGGGUUUGGAGCCCUCCCGAAAGUGACGAUUUUUGGGAAUGAGACCCUAAAAUUGACCUAAAAAAAUUGGGAAGAAAAUGGGGGAAAAAAAGGGGAGUGGGGGGAGGGGAGGGUGGGGAUUGAAAAACCCCCAAAAAUCUGGAGAAAAGACCCAAAAAAAGGCGAAAAAAUGAGGAAAAAGGGGGGGAUGGGAGUGGGGGAGGGGCAAUAACGAAACCACCCCUGAAAUUCAUAAAAAUGACCCGAAAAAAGCAGAAAUUUGGGAAAAAUGGGGGGAAAAUUGGGAAAAGGGGAGUGGGGGGAGGGGCAGAGGUAAAACCACCCCUAAAAUUCGUUAAAAACGCCCAAAAGUGACCCUAAAAAAGUGAGGGAAAUGGGAAAAAACGGGGGAAAUGGGGAAAAAAGGGGAUGGGGAGAGGGGUUGAGAGAGGGGGGAGGGGCGGGGCCGAAACCACGCCCAAAACCUCUUAAAAAACCCAAAAAAUGACCUAAAAAAAAGCCCAAAAAUCGGGGGAAAAGGGGAAAAUGAUGAAAGGGGAAAAUGUAAAAAAAAAAGGGGAAAAAAAGAAGGAAAAAAGGGGAAAAAUGAAAAAAUUAUAAAAGGGAAAAAAAUAGAAAAAAAAGGGGAAAAAAGGGAAAAAAACAACAGAAAAAAGGGAUAAAAAUGAAAAAAAGGGAAAAAAGGAGAAGAAAAGUGAAAAAAAAAUUUAAAAAACAAAAAAAAGGAAAAAAGGGGAUAAAACUUUAAAAACUGGGGAAAAAAUGGGAAAAAAAUGAAAAUAAAAGGGGAAAAAGGAUAAAAAUGCAAAAUAAAAGGGAAAAACAUGGAAAAAACUGAAAAAAAAACGGAAAAAAGGGAGAAAGUUAAAAAGAAAGGAAAAGGGAAGAAAAGGGAUAAAAAUGGAAAAUAAAAGGGAAAAAAAUGGAAAAAAACAGGAAAAAGAGGAGAAAAAUGAGAAAAAAGGGAAAGGGAAGAAAAGGGAUGAAAAUGCAAAAUAAUGGGGAGAAAAUGGAAAAAAAAACAGGAAAAGAAAGGAAAAAAAUGAGAAAAAAAGGGAAAGGGAGACAAAGGGAUAAAAAUGCAAAAUAAUGGGGAAAAAAUGGGAAAAAAAUUUUUAAAAAGUGAAAAAACCCCUAAAAAAAUGGGAAAAAAUGGGGAAAAAAUGGGAAAGAAAGGGGAAAGGGGGGAGGGGCG